AAAACUCAGGGGAAUUAGCUCAAGUGGUAGAGUGCUCGCUUAGCAUGCGAGAGGCAGUGGGAUCGAUGCCCACAUUCUCCAUGUGUCUUUGUUUCUUCUGACAAAUGUUUUUUUUUUUUUUAAUUCAUUUUGAAAAAAUGUCAGCAAAUGUGUCUGAAAACCAACUACAAGUAAUAAUUUACUAGGCCGAUGAGGAUGGGAGUCGAACCCACGCGUGCAGAGCACAAUGGAAUAGCAGUCCAU
This 243-nucleotide transfer RNA is filed under the name Betta splendens (Siamese fighting fish). Its description in RNAcentral is "lncRNA (ENSBSLG00000010999.1)". The stretch from base 9 to 81 matches the Rfam family "tRNA". Lineage: Eukaryota; Metazoa; Chordata; Actinopteri; Anabantiformes; Osphronemidae. The record is from RNAcentral.